RNAcentral lists this ribosomal RNA (442 nucleotides) under uncultured bacterium. RNAcentral's name for it is "partial 16S ribosomal RNA". It matches the Rfam family "Bacterial small subunit ribosomal RNA", at positions 338 to 795 of the family's 1533-position model. The record is from RNAcentral.
CCUACGGGAGGCAGCAGUGGGGAAUAUUGGGCAAUGGGCGCAAGCCUGACCCAGCAACGCCGCGUGAAGGAAGAAGGCUUUCGGGUUGUACACUUCUUUUGUCAGGGAAGAGGAGAAGACGGUACCUGACGAAUAAGCCACGGCUAACUACGGGCCAGCAGCCGCGGUAAUACGGAGGUGGCAAGCGUUGUCCGGAUUUACUGGGUGGACAGGGCGUGUAGCCGGGGUGAAAAGUCAGAUGUGAAAUCCUGCGGCUUAACCGCAGUACUGCAUUUUAAACUGUUGAUCUUGAGUACUGGAGAGGCAUCCGGAAUUCCUAGUGUAGCGGUGAAAUGCGUAGAUAUUAGGCGGAACACCAGUGGCGACGGCGGUCUGCUGGACCGCAACUGACGGUGCGGCGCGACAGCGUGGGGAGCAAACAGGAUUAGAUACCCCUGUAGUC